GUGCCCGUAGCUCAGCCGGAUAGAGCGUUUGGCUUCGAACCAAAAGGUCGGGAGUUCGAGUCUCUCCGGGCACGCCA
RNAcentral lists this transfer RNA (77 nucleotides) under Kyrpidia tusciae. RNAcentral describes it as "tRNA-Arg". It matches the Rfam family "tRNA". Rfam says of the family: Transfer RNA (tRNA) molecules are approximately 80 nucleotides in length. Their secondary structure includes four short double-helical elements and three loops (D, anti-codon, and T loops). Further hydrogen bonds mediate the characteristic L-shaped molecular structure. tRNAs have two regions of fundamental functional importance: the anti-codon, which is responsible for specific mRNA codon recognition, and the 3' end, to which the tRNAs corresponding amino acid is attached (by aminoacyl-tRNA synthetases). tRNAs cope with the degeneracy of the genetic code in two manners: having more than one tRNA (with a specific anti-codon) for a particular amino acid; and 'wobble' base-pairing, i.e. permitting non-standard base-pairing at the 3rd anti-codon position. The record is from RNAcentral. Lineage: Bacteria; Bacillati; Bacillota; Bacilli; Caryophanales; Alicyclobacillaceae. RNAcentral also lists the same sequence under 2 other names.